UACGUAGGGGGCUAGCGUUGUCCGGAAUCAUUGGGCGUAAAGAGCGCGUAGGCGGCCAGAUAAGUCCGGUGUGAAAGUCAGAGGCUCAACCUUUGAAUGCCGCUGGAAACUGUCUGGCUAGAGUCCGGAAGGGGCGAGUGGAAUUCCUGGUGUAGCGGUGAAAUGCGCAGAUAUCAGGAGGAACACCAAUGGCGAAGGCAGCUCGCUGGAACGGUACUGACGCUGAGACGCGAAAGCGUGGGGAGCAAACAGG
Molecule: ribosomal RNA, 253 nt
Filed under: uncultured bacterium
Lineage: Bacteria
Description: partial 16S ribosomal RNA
Rfam family: Bacterial small subunit ribosomal RNA
Source: RNAcentral